This 839-nucleotide ribosomal RNA is filed under the name Penicillium spinulosum. RNAcentral's name for it is "bacterial SSU rRNA". The stretch from base 500 to 653 matches the Rfam family "5.8S ribosomal RNA". The record is from RNAcentral. Lineage: Eukaryota; Fungi; Ascomycota; Eurotiomycetes; Eurotiales; Aspergillaceae.
CCCGGAACCCGGGGAGGCGGAAAACACCAUAUAUAUGUUUUCUUUCGGCCGCCUUUGCUUUUAAGCUUGCUCCUAAGGUCCCUAGACCCGAGAACCGGGACACCCCAUAAGGGCGGCCGAGUUGUUUGGAACCCCAUUACGUCCCCUUGGCCUUGUACACACCGCCCGUCGCUACUACCGAUUGAAUGGCUCAGUGAGGCCUUGGGACUGGCUCAGGAGGGUUGGCAACGACCCCCCAGAGCCGGAAACUUGGUCAAACUCGGUCAUUUAGAGGAAGUAAAAGUCGUAACAAGGUUUCCGUAGGUGAACCUGCGGAAGGAUCAUUACUGAGUGAGGGCCCUCUGGGUCCAACCUCCCACCCGUGUUUAUUGUACCUUGUUGCUUCGGUGCGCCCGCCUCACGGCCGCCGGGGGGCUUCUGCCCCCGGGUCCGCGCGCACCGGAGACACUAUUGAACUCUGUCUGAAGAUUGCAGUCUGAGCAUAAACUAAAUAAGUUAAAACUUUCAACAACGGAUCUCUUGGUUCCGGCAUCGAUGAAGAACGCAGCGAAAUGCGAUAACUAAUGUGAAUUGCAGAAUUCAGUGAAUCAUCGAGUCUUUGAACGCACAUUGCGCCCCCUGGUAUUCCGGGGGGCAUGCCUGUCCGAGCGUCAUUGCUGCCCUCAAGCACGGCUUGUGUGUUGGGCUCCGUCCCCCCGGGGACGGGUCCGAAAGGCAGCGGCGGCACCGAGUCCGGUCCUCGAGCGUAUGGGGCUUUGUCACCCGCUCUGUAGGCCCGGCCGGCGCCAGCCGACAACCAAUCAUCCUUUUUCGAGGGUGACCUGGGAUCGAGGUACGGA